RNAcentral lists this ribosomal RNA (334 nucleotides) under uncultured bacterium. Its description in RNAcentral is "bacterial SSU rRNA". It matches the Rfam family "Bacterial small subunit ribosomal RNA", at positions 29 to 355 of the family's 1533-position model. The record is from RNAcentral.
AUUGAACGCUGGCGGCAUGCCUAACACAUGCAAGUCGAACGGCAGCACGGCAGUAGCAAUACUGUGGGUGGCGAGUGGCGGACGGGUGAGGAAUACGUCGGAAUCUGCCCAGUCGUGGGGAGUAACUAGCCGAAGGUUAAGCUAAUACCGCAUACGACCGAGAGGUGAAAGACGGGGACCGGCAAGGCCUCGCGCGAUUGGAUGAGCCGACGUCGGAUUAGCUAGUUGGUGGGGUAAAGGGACCCACCAAGGCGACGAUCCGUAGCUGGUCUGAGAGGAUGAUCAGCCACACUGGAACUGAGACACGGUCCAGACUCCUACGGGAGGCAGCAGU